This 426-nucleotide ribosomal RNA is filed under the name Rhodococcus sp. R-41780. Its description in RNAcentral is "bacterial SSU rRNA". It matches the Rfam family "Bacterial small subunit ribosomal RNA", at positions 28 to 458 of the family's 1533-position model. Lineage: Bacteria; Bacillati; Actinomycetota; Actinomycetes; Mycobacteriales; Nocardiaceae. The record is from RNAcentral.
GACGAACGCUGGCGGCGUGCUUAACACAUGCAAGUCGAGCGGUAAGGCCUUUCGGGGUACACGAGCGGCGAACGGGUGAGUAACACGUGGGUGAUCUGCCCUGCACUUCGGGAUAAGCCUGGGAAACUGGGUCUAAUACCGGAUAUGACCUCAGGUUGCAUGACUUGGGGUGGAAAGAUUUAUCGGUGCAGGAUGGGCCCGCGGCCUAUCAGCUUGUUGGUGGGGUAAUGGCCUACCAAGGCGACGACGGGUAGCCGACCUGAGAGGGUGACCGGCCACACUGGGACUGAGACACGGCCCAGACUCCUACGGGAGGCAGCAGUGGGGAAUAUUGCACAAUGGGCGAAAGCCUGAUGCAGCGACGCCGCGUGAGGGAUGACGGCCUUCGGGUUGUAAACCUCUUUCAGCAGGGACGAAGCGCAAGUG